RNAcentral lists this transfer RNA (74 nucleotides) under Eubacteriaceae bacterium CHKCI005. It matches the Rfam family "tRNA". Rfam says of the family: Transfer RNA (tRNA) molecules are approximately 80 nucleotides in length. The record is from Rfam by way of RNAcentral. Lineage: Bacteria; Bacillati; Bacillota; Clostridia; Eubacteriales; Eubacteriaceae.
CGGGAUGUGGCUCAGCUUGGUAGAGCGCCUGCUUUGGGAGCAGGAUGCCGCAGGUUCGAAUCCUGUCAUCCCGA